Molecule: RNA transcript, 1034 nt
Organism: Olea europaea var. sylvestris
Lineage: Eukaryota; Viridiplantae; Streptophyta; Magnoliopsida; Lamiales; Oleaceae
Gene name: ultraviolet-B receptor UVR8-like
Exons: 2
Source: RefSeq, a predicted model, not a curated record
UUCUGGGCAGUUGGGCCACGGGGAAAUGGUUAAUAGCUUACAACCGAAGCCGGUAAAGGCCGUGGAAGGCUUCGUUAUUAGUCAUGCCUCUGCUGGCUGGAGCCAUUCCGGAUUUGUUUCAGGCUUUCUGCUCUCACCAUCUGCUUGUAAAAAUAACUAAUUGAAAGAAAUGGAAUCAAGAGUUUAUAGGGACUUUAAAAGUUGAAAGCUUUUUUCGUUAUGGACUAAUGCAUUUGAUGCCCUAUUUUAUGUUUUUUGGUUGAUCUAUUCUUUUUUUAGAAUCUUACUACUUGAGAUAUUUGCUGAAGUUUUUCCUGUUUUCUGGAGAUUUAUUGAUUUAGUAAGUCUGGAUGUUAGAAUUCUAAAAAUGAGAGAUUGAUGCCUCUUUCAAUACUUCUUUACGUUAUUUUUGGUGGCACCAAAUUCAUACACUGGAUUUCAUCUUACAUGCAUUUUUCACAAUUUUGAUUCAGGAAUUUGAAUCUCCAAGUAGCAUAUCAUAGCUUCAACUUCCAUAGAAGUUAAUCUUUUGAAGGCUUAAAUCCUAGUACUACUACACACUGGUUUGCUAUUCACCUGUGGAGAUGGUUCAUUUGGCCAGCUUAGGCAUGGUGGUUAUAAGUCGCAAUGUACUCCGGUAAAAAUCUCAUAUUUCAGUUCUAAGCAUGUUGAUCAAAUAGCUUGUGGUAUGCGUCAUUCACUAGUCUUACUAAAAGGUAAUUUUGCAAGAAACUUUCAUGGUCUUUGUUCAGUAAAUCGAAAAUUUAUUCUAAAUGACUCUUGUAAUUAAAGGAUCAUUGCAUUUAAAAGAAAUUUCUAAUAAGUAAGUGGAACCGUUGCAACAGUAUUUAUGAAGGAUUUAUUGCGAACAGGAAAGGUUUGGAUGGAGGGGGAAUUAUUAAAAAAUGAGAAGUAUGCUAUGAAUUUUCCCUUACACAAAAACUUCUCCAUACUCGAUAAGUUUGGAGGCCAAACAUUCCAAACUCGCCCAACUUGUUCAGUUUGGAGAUGGUGGAAAGUUAGUUCUACUUUGA